RNAcentral lists this small RNA (29 nucleotides) under Bombyx mori (domestic silkworm). RNAcentral describes it as "piRNA piR-bmo-1923564". The record is from RNAcentral. Lineage: Eukaryota; Metazoa; Arthropoda; Insecta; Lepidoptera; Bombycidae.
UGACUGCGACCGGCGUGAUGAUGAGUGGC